UACAGAGGGUGCGAGCGUUAAUCGGAAUUACUGGGCGUAAAGCGCGCGUAGACGGUUUUGUAAGUCAGAUGUGAAAUCCCCGGGCUCAACCAGGGAACUGCAUUUGAGACUGCAUGGCUAGAGUAUGGAAGAGGGAAGUGGAAUUUCCGGUGUAGCGGUGAAAUGCGUAGAUAUCGGAAGGAACACCUGUGGCGAAAGCGGCUCACUGGACCAUAACUGACGCUGAUGCACGAAAGCUAGGGGAGCAAACAGG
RNAcentral lists this ribosomal RNA (253 nucleotides) under uncultured prokaryote. RNAcentral describes it as "partial 16S ribosomal RNA". It matches the Rfam family "Bacterial small subunit ribosomal RNA", at positions 524 to 776 of the family's 1533-position model. The record is from RNAcentral.